AAAAAGAAAAAUAUUAUCCGUAAAUGAUCUCUCUCAUAUUGAUUCAUAUAAACAUUAAUACAAGGGCGGCAAUAAGGCUUCCUUGGGUUACGUUAAGGUUAACCUUGCCAUCUUAUUAUAUAGAGUGCAAAUACAGCUCACCAACUUAAUGCAGUAACUUCUUUAAAGGUAGUGAAGGGUGCCAACUUACCUUGCCGCUAGAGAUAGCCACCAGAUGAUCACUGUACAACCAGCAGAGGCAUCAAAACUGAAAAAACACAUUUCAAGGUUUUCAGAAGUAACAGAGUGUCCGUUCUUCACGUGCACACCUGUGCAAUAAUAAUUUUAGUCUUGUCCUAUAUGUGAAUAAGAUAAAAACCUUAAAUAUGGGGGGCCGCAUUUUAAAUAUGGGACAAUAUCAUCCAAGAAAAUUCACUCACCUAUACCAGAAAGGCAGAGCAAGAUGGGAGAAGCAAGCAGCUUCCUUUCUCAUGAACUGUACAUGAAAUACUUUAAAAGCGUGCAACUUCCCUGCUGAUCGCAGCAUGUAG
Molecule: long non-coding RNA, 530 nt
Filed under: Elaeis guineensis (African oil palm)
Lineage: Eukaryota; Viridiplantae; Streptophyta; Magnoliopsida; Arecales; Arecaceae
Description: long non-coding RNA (EGUI_LNC030261)
Source: RNAcentral